This 88-nucleotide microRNA precursor is filed under the name Myotis lucifugus (little brown bat). RNAcentral describes it as "miRNA (ENSMLUG00000017867.1)". Lineage: Eukaryota; Metazoa; Chordata; Mammalia; Chiroptera; Vespertilionidae. The record is from RNAcentral.
GCGCAGCUGAGGGCCCUGUGUGGGUGCGAGUGUGUGAGUGUGUGUCGCUUGGGUCCAUGCUCAUGCACACACCCACACGUCCACACUC